RNAcentral lists this ribosomal RNA (2902 nucleotides) under Klebsiella pneumoniae. RNAcentral's name for it is "23S ribosomal RNA". It matches the Rfam family "Bacterial large subunit ribosomal RNA". Lineage: Bacteria; Pseudomonadati; Pseudomonadota; Gammaproteobacteria; Enterobacterales; Enterobacteriaceae. The record is from RNAcentral.
GGUUAAGCGACUAAGCGUACACGGUGGAUGCCCUGGCAGUCAGAGGCGAUGAAGGACGUGCUAAUCUGCGAAAAGCGUCGGUAAGGUGAUAUGAACCGUUAUAACCGGCGAUGUCCGAAUGGGGAAACCCAGUGCAAUUCGUUGCACUAUCGUUAACUGAAUACAUAGGUUAACGAGGCGAACCGGGGGAACUGAAACAUCUAAGUACCCCGAGGAAAAGAAAUCAACCGAGAUUCCCCCAGUAGCGGCGAGCGAACGGGGAGCAGCCCAGAGUCUGAAUCAGCUUGUGUGUUAGUGGAACGGUCUGGAAAGUCCGACGGUACAGGGUGAUAGUCCCGUACACCAAAAUGCACAGGCUGUGAACUCGAAGAGUAGGGCGGGACACGUGGUAUCCUGUCUGAAUAUGGGGGGACCAUCCUCCAAGGCUAAAUACUCCUGACUGACCGAUAGUGAACCAGUACCGUGAGGGAAAGGCGAAAAGAACCCCGGCGAGGGGAGUGAAAAAGAACCUGAAACCGUGUACGUACAAGCAGUGGGAGCACCUUCGGGUGUGACUGCGUACCUUUUGUAUAAUGGGUCAGCGACUUAUAUUCUGUAGCAAGGUUAACCGUAUAGGGGAGCCGCAGGGAAACCGAGUCUUAACUGGGCGUUAAGUUGCAGGGUAUAGACCCGAAACCCGGUGAUCUAGCCAUGGGCAGGUUGAAGGUUGGGUAACACUAACUGGAGGACCGAACCGACUAAUGUUGAAAAAUUAGCGGAUGACUUGUGGCUGGGGGUGAAAGACCAAUCAAACCGGGAGAUAGCUGGUUCUCCCCGAAAGCUAUUUAGGUAGCGCCUCGUGAACUCAUCUUCGGGGGUAGAGCACUGUUUCGGCUAGGGGGUCAUCCCGACUUACCAACCCGAUGCAAACUACGAAUACCGAAGAAUGUUAUCACGGGAGACACACGGCGGGUGCUAACGUCCGUCGUGAAGAGGGAAACAACCCAGACCGCCAGCUAAGGUCCCAAAGUCAUGGUUAAGUGGGAAACGAUGUGGGAAGGCACAGACAGCCAGGAUGUUGGCUUAGAAGCAGCCAUCAUUUAAAGAAAGCGUAAUAGCUCACUGGUCGAGUCGGCCUGCGCGGAAGAUGUAACGGGGCUAAACCAUGCACCGAAGCUGCGGCAGCGACACUAUGUGUUGUUGGGUAGGGGAGCGUUCUGUAAGCCUGCGAAGGUGUGCUGUGAGGCAUGCUGGAGGUAUCAGAAGUGCGAAUGCUGACAUAAGUAACGAUAAAGCGGGUGAAAAGCCCGCUCGCCGGAAGACCAAGGGUUCCUGUCCAACGUUAAUCGGGGCAGGGUGAGUCGACCCCUAAGGCGAGGCCGAAAGGCGUAGUCGAUGGGAAACAGGUUAAUAUUCCUGUACUUGGUGUUACUGCGAAGGGGGGACGGAGAAGGCUAUGUUAGCCGGGCGACGGUUGUCCCGGUUUAAGCAUGUAGGCUGGUUGUCCAGGCAAAUCCGGAUAAUCAAGGCUGAGGUGUGAUGACGAGGCACUACGGUGCUGAAGUAACAAAUGCCCUGCUUCCAGGAAAAGCCUCUAAGCAUCAGGUAACAUCAAAUCGUACCCCAAACCGACACAGGUGGUCAGGUAGAGAAUACCAAGGCGCUUGAGAGAACUCGGGUGAAGGAACUAGGCAAAAUGGUGCCGUAACUUCGGGAGAAGGCACGCUGGUGUGUAGGUGAAGCCCCUGCGGGUGGAGCUGAGACCAGUCGAAGAUACCAGCUGGCUGCAACUGUUUAUUAAAAACACAGCACUGUGCAAACACGAAAGUGGACGUAUACGGUGUGACGCCUGCCCGGUGCCGGAAGGUUAAUUGAUGGGGUUAUCCGUAAGGAGAAGCUCUUGAUCGAAGCCCCGGUAAACGGCGGCCGUAACUAUAACGGUCCUAAGGUAGCGAAAUUCCUUGUCGGGUAAGUUCCGACCUGCACGAAUGGCGUAAUGAUGGCCAGGCUGUCUCCACCCGAGACUCAGUGAAAUUGAACUCGCUGUGAAGAUGCAGUGUACCCGCGGCAAGACGGAAAGACCCCGUGAACCUUUACUAUAGCUUGACACUGAACAUUGAGCCUUGAUGUGUAGGAUAGGUGGGAGGCUUUGAAGCGUGGACGCCAGUCUGCGUGGAGCCAACCUUGAAAUACCACCCUUUAAUGUUUGAUGUUCUAACGUUGGCCCCUUACCGGGGUUGCGGACAGUGUCUGGUGGGUAGUUUGACUGGGGCGGUCUCCUCCCAAAGCGUAACGGAGGAGCACGAAGGUUAGCUAAUCCUGGUCGGACAUCAGGAGGUUAGUGCAAUGGCAUAAGCUAGCUUGACUGCGAGCGUGACGGCGCGAGCAGGUGCGAAAGCAGGUCAUAGUGAUCCGGUGGUUCUGAAUGGAAGGGCCAUCGCUCAACGGAUAAAAGGUACUCCGGGGAUAACAGGCUGAUACCGCCCAAGAGUUCAUAUCGACGGCGGUGUUUGGCACCUCGAUGUCGGCUCAUCACAUCCUGGGGCUGAAGUAGGUCCCAAGGGUAUGGCUGUUCGCCAUUUAAAGUGGUACGCGAGCUGGGUUUAGAACGUCGUGAGACAGUUCGGUCCCUAUCUGCCGUGGGCGCUGGAGAAUUGAGGGGGGCUGCUCCUAGUACGAGAGGACCGGAGUGGACGCAUCACUGGUGUUCGGGUUGUCAUGCCAAUGGCACUGCCCGGUAGCUAAAUGCGGAAGAGAUAAGUGCUGAAAGCAUCUAAGCACGAAACUUGCCCCGAGAUGAGUUCUCCCUGAGACUUUAAGUCUCCUGAAGGAACGUUGAAGACGACGACGUUGAUAGGCCGGGUGUGUAAGCGCAGCGAUGCGUUGAGCUAACCGGUACUAAUGAACCGUGAGGCUUAACCUU